This 530-nucleotide long non-coding RNA is filed under the name Solanum tuberosum (potato). RNAcentral describes it as "long non-coding RNA (STUB_LNC000280)". Lineage: Eukaryota; Viridiplantae; Streptophyta; Magnoliopsida; Solanales; Solanaceae. The record is from RNAcentral.
UAGAAGCCCAGGUCUAACUGAAUUCAUGAUCCAGGACAGACUACAACAUUCACUUUCUCCCACUGAUCGUGAUACAUUGCUGGAAAUUGAGACUUAGGAAAUCUACCAUCUACAAACCCCAACUUGCUUUUACAUAGCAGACCAAUUCUCAUAGACCGACUCCAUAAAACAUAGUUGUCAGAUCCAGUUAACUGAAGUGAGAUGAGAGAACUACCUGGAGUGUCAGUUGGCUGCAGAAACAGUGGGUGAUUGUGAUCUAGUGUAGGAAUGGCGUGAAUUGUCUGCUGAACAUUCACUCCGUUUGUGUUGAUUUGCUCUUCCUUGAUUGCCAUGUUUUACAAUUCAGAUCUGGCUUAGAUGAAAUAACUUCCCACGAGCUUGCUGCUUUGAGUUGAGACAAAAACUACUUCAGAUCAAUAGUGGAAGCUCUGAUACCAUGUUAGCAGCCAUGGAAGAACUCAUAAGCUUGAGAAUCAUACAAGAGUAGGCUUGAGAGAGAAGAGAGGAAAAUCAAUCUUAUUCACAAACUG